Molecule: ribosomal RNA, 750 nt
Filed under: Thermococcus sp. CL2
Lineage: Archaea; Methanobacteriati; Methanobacteriota; Thermococci; Thermococcales; Thermococcaceae
Description: bacterial SSU rRNA
Rfam family: Archaeal small subunit ribosomal RNA
Source: RNAcentral
CGACUAAGCCAUGCGAGUCAUGGGGCGCGCUCUGCGCGCACCGGCGGACGGCUCAGUAACACGUCGGUAACCUACCCUCGGGAGGGGGAUAACCCCGGGAAACUGGGGCUAAUCCCCCAUAGGCCUGAGGUACUGGAAGGUCCUCAGGCCGAAAGGGGCUUUCGCCCGCCCGAGGAUGGGCCGGCGGCCGAUUAGGUAGUUGGUGGGGUAACGGCCCACCAAGCCGAAGAUCGGUACGGGCCAUGAGAGUGGGAGCCCGGAGAUGGACACUGAGACACGGGUCCAGGCCCUACGGGGCGCAGCAGGCGCGAAACCUCCGCAAUGCGGGAAACCGCGACGGGGGGACCCCCAGUGCCGUGGCAUCGCCACGGCUUUUCCGGAGUGUAAAGAGCUCCGGGAAUAAGGGCUGGGCAAGGCCGGUGGCAGCCGCCGCGGUAAUACCGGCGGCCCGAGUGGUGGCCGCUAUUAUUGGGCCUAAAGCGUCCGUAGCCGGGCCCGUAAGUCCCUGGCGAAAUCCCACGGCUCAACCGUGGGGCUUGCUGGGGAUACUGCGGGCCUUGGGACCGGGAGAGGCCGGGGGUACUCCUGGGGUAGGGGUGAAAUCCUAUAAUCCCAGGAGGACCGCCAGUGGCGAAGGCGCCCGGCUGGAACGGGUCCGACGGUGAGGGACGAAGGCCAGGGGAGCGAACCGGAUUAGAUACCCGGGUAGUCCUGGCUGUAAAGGAUGCGGGCUAGGUGUCGGGCGAGCUU